GAGGACAGUGCAGCCAAUGUGCAGAGAGAUAUUCACUCACGACUGACUCACAUAUCUCUCCUGAUCUAAGGGUGUAAAAGGGACUGCAGUGGGGUCGCCCAGCCACACAGGCUGCAACAGCAAUACAGAGUACAUCUACUGAGGCGUCAUCAAGCCACACAUUCAGCAGGGAUACCCCUCAUCUACUUCACGAUCUCCAACAGGGAUACCACAUCUCUUCGGUAGACAUACCCAAGCAUCGCUUUCCAGCAGCAGAAAGACAAUGAGGGCACUGACGCUGGCACUAAUGGUGGCACUGACGGUGGCACUAAUGGUUAACUGCAGCCCCAUCAGCAACAAUAACAACUAUCCGUCCAUCUGUUUGCUUGCCUCCCCACCGAGGACGGUGUCGAGCAUAUUUGAUUUUCUUUCACUAUAACCCAAAAUUAAACACCUGUGAACGGUUCGUCUAUGGAGGCUGUGGAGGCAACGGGAAUAAUUUCCGAACCUUUGAGAAGUGCAUGUCUACCUGUGGAGUCGCCGAACAAGACAACGACCUGACUUCUUACUGACACCGAGGAACACUGAUGACGGGUAAAUUAGCACAGGUACACCUAUCAGUGCUGAGUCCAGCUUGAGGAAGCAGCACCAAUACACCAGGUGUGUGAGACGCCUGUUGCAGCAGCAGCAGCAGCAGCAGCAGCAGCAGCAGCAGCAGCAGCAGCAGCAGCAGCAGCAGCAGCAGCAGCAGCAGCAGCAGCAGCAGCAGCAGCAGCCUCAGCAGCAGCAGCAGCAGGAGCAGUAGCGCCUUAACCACAUCACAGCUGUACCUUGGCUGCUGCAGAAAGAGCAUAGAGUCUUUUAAAAUAUUGCCUUCAGUAACGAAUAAAACACACGUUAGCAGGACAAGACAACAACAUUUUGCACUCUACAGAGCUUAGUCAAGUUGUAUGCAGGUGUAUUUUAUACAAUCUGUUUGACGUUGUUGCAAUAAAAGUUUGUGCAACACGUGGUAUACCACGAGGCUGGUCAAGGACGGGGGCGUUGACUCCCCGGAACACCUCCAGGCAGACCACCUAAUGUUAAAAAACACUACAUGGAAAAAAAUACACUGAGUAUACAUGGUGUUCCGGGGGUCAACGCCCCCCGCUGCCCGGUCCAUGACCAGAACAGGAAAUAGAUUCUGGGUCUGUGUAAUUUUUCAGUAUGAUAUUGUUUCAUGUGUGCAGUCAGGUGUUUUAAAGAGAGUAUCUUCUUACUGCCUGUGUUAAAGGUUGAAUCCCUCUUGAAAUACCUGCUGUGCCAAGCUAUAAUGGCUUUACCAGUAAUGCUGCAAAUUACAGCUGUUGUAUCCAUCAUGUUACAGCUACUGUACCCAUCCUAUUGCAGCUGCUGCAUCCAUCCUGUUGCAGCUGCUGCACCCAUCCAUUUACAGCUGCUGCACCCAUCCUGUUGCAGCUGCUGCACCCAUCCUGUUACAGCUGCUGCACCCAUCCUGUUGCAGCUGCUGCACCCAUCCAUUUACAGCUGCUGCACCCAUCCUGUUGCAGCUGCUGCACCCAUCCUGUUACAGCUGCUGCACCCAUCCUGUUACAGCUGCUGCAUCAAGCCUGUCACUUAGCUUAGUCUAAUUAUUUAUUUAGUUGAGCAAUGAAGACAAUGUAUCAUAACAUAUACUGUAUAAAUAAUUAAAAAUUUUUACUGAA
Long non-coding RNA from Cherax quadricarinatus, 1685 nucleotides. RefSeq lists it as uncharacterized. The record is from RefSeq and is a predicted model, not a curated record. Lineage: Eukaryota; Metazoa; Arthropoda; Malacostraca; Decapoda; Parastacidae.